GUGCGUACCACAGAAGAGGUCACCACAUCGACAUUUGAAUCCAGUCAAACCAACCCGUUUGUUGCAAGUAGUACAUCGGCUGGGCCCUUCCUUUGGUUUUGCUGCAGCUUCUUCUGGUGCUACUACCUCUGCAACAGCUUGUACAGAGACAGCCACAGGCUCGAUGGAUUUGGUUCCAGCAUCAACCAAAUCAGCAGUGAAGGUUUCCUUUAGGAUGUUGCUGGGUGAUCCAGACACUGCAGAUGCAAGCUUGGCCCCCUGUUCCUGUUGAAACAAGAUAGUCUUGUGGCACUUGGAACACAUGUUCAUUGUGGCAGCGCUUCCGAAGAAACCGCAGU
This 338-nucleotide long non-coding RNA is filed under the name Brassica rapa (field mustard). RNAcentral's name for it is "long non-coding RNA (BRAP_LNC004001)". Lineage: Eukaryota; Viridiplantae; Streptophyta; Magnoliopsida; Brassicales; Brassicaceae. The record is from RNAcentral.